UACGAAGAGGGCUAGCGUUGUUCGGAAUUACUGGGCGUAAAGCGUGCGCAGGCGGCUUCUCAAGUCAGGGGUGAAAGCCCAGAGCUCAACUCUGGAAUUGCCUUUGAGACUGAGUGGCUUGAGUACGAGAGAGGUGAGUGGAAUUCCCAGUGUAGAGGUGAAAUUCGUAGAUAUUGGGAAGAACACCGGUGGCGAAGGCGGCUCACUGGCUCGUAACUGACGCUCAUGCCCGCCAGCGUGGGGAUCAAACAGG
RNAcentral lists this ribosomal RNA (253 nucleotides) under uncultured bacterium. RNAcentral's name for it is "partial 16S ribosomal RNA". It matches the Rfam family "Bacterial small subunit ribosomal RNA", at positions 524 to 776 of the family's 1533-position model. The record is from RNAcentral.